Long non-coding RNA from Lolium rigidum, 488 nucleotides. RefSeq lists it as uncharacterized. NCBI's taxonomy places the organism in Eukaryota, Viridiplantae, Streptophyta, Magnoliopsida, Poales, Poaceae. The transcript has 2 exons. The record is from RefSeq and is a predicted model, not a curated record.
AACGUAGCUAUGAGAAUUGACAAUGAACUGUGGAGUUCAGUUGUAAGGGAGUUGAUGACCGUAUCUCAACAUCUCCAAUUGGAAUUUCUUCUCGAUCUAGAAUUCUAAAUCAAGAGAGGAGCAGGGACUGUCUGGAAGGAGUGGUUGAAAAGAAGUGGUUGGAGCACGUGAAUUGAUUUACUUGCUGGAGAAAAAGGUUGAGCAGGUACAAGAUGCAUGUGGGCUUUUUGCUGAUCUGGGAGCCUUAGACUGUUUAUGGGCUUUCCUCUGUAAUGGGCUUUUUAAAACUCAACAAGGACUGAAUGCAAAAAUCCAUGAAACUCAAACAGAGGUUCUACCGAAAUGUGUGUGUUUUGCGAGACUGAAACAUACAGUUUUUGAUUAAAUGAGUACUUUUCUCUGCUGUACAGAUGUCAUCGUUUCAUUGGUCCUAAAAAAGUGUCUGUUUACGAAUUGAAAAACAGCUAGCUGCUGUAUAGGCACUCCCA